This 449-nucleotide ribosomal RNA is filed under the name uncultured bacterium. Its description in RNAcentral is "bacterial SSU rRNA". It matches the Rfam family "Bacterial small subunit ribosomal RNA", at positions 393 to 842 of the family's 1533-position model. The record is from RNAcentral.
CAAGUCGCGUGAGGGAUGAAGGUUCUAUGGAUCGUAAACCUCUUUUAUAAGGGAAUAAAGUGUGGGACGUGUCCUGUUUUGUAUGUACCUUAUGAAUAAGGAUCGGCUAACUCCGUGCCAGCAGCCGCGGUAAUACGGAGGAUCCGAGCGUUAUCCGGAUUUAUUGGGUUUAAAGGGUGCGUAGGCGGCCUUUUAAGUCAGCGGUGAAAGUCUGUGGCUCAACCAUGGAAUUGCCGUUGAAACUGGGAGGCUUGAGUAUGUUUGAGGCAGGCGGAAUGCGUGGUGUAGCGGUGAAAUGCUUAGAUAUCACGCAGAACCCCGAUUGCGAAGGCAGCCUGCCAAGCCAUGACUGACGCUGAUGCACGAAAGCGUGGGGAUCAAACAGGAUUAGAUACCCUGGUAGUCCACGCAGUAAACAAUGAUCACUAGCUGUUUGCGAUACAGUGUAA